CCUACGGGCGGCAGCAGUGGGGAAUAUUGGGCAAUGGGCGCAAGCCUGACCCAGCAACGCCGCGUGAAGGAAGAAGGCUUUCGGGUUGUAAACUUCUUUUGUCAGGGACGAGUAGAAGACGGUACCUGACGAAUAAGCCACGGCUAACUACGUGCCAGCAGCCGCGGUAAUACGUAGGUGGCAAGCGUUGUCCGGAUUUACUGGGUGUAAAGGGCGUGUAGCCGGGUUGACAAGCCAGGUGUGAAAUCCUGCGGCUUAACCGCAGAACUGCAUUUGAAACUGUUGAUCUUGAGUACUGGAGAGGCAGACGGAAUUCCUAGUGUAGCGGUGAAAUGCGUAGAUAUUAGGAGGAACACCAGUGGCGAAGGCGGUCUGCUGGACAGCAACUGACGGUGAGGCGCGAAAGCGUGGGGAGCAAACAGGAUUAGAUACCCCUGUAGUC
This 442-nucleotide ribosomal RNA is filed under the name uncultured bacterium. Its description in RNAcentral is "partial 16S ribosomal RNA". It matches the Rfam family "Bacterial small subunit ribosomal RNA", at positions 338 to 795 of the family's 1533-position model. The record is from RNAcentral.